GCCGGAGUGGCGGAACGGCAGACGCUGCGGUCUUAAAAACCGCUGGGGGCAACCCCGUACGGGUUCGAGUCCCGUCUUCGGCACCA
RNAcentral lists this transfer RNA (86 nucleotides) under Chloroflexales bacterium. RNAcentral describes it as "tRNA-Leu". It matches the Rfam family "tRNA". Rfam says of the family: Transfer RNA (tRNA) molecules are approximately 80 nucleotides in length. Their secondary structure includes four short double-helical elements and three loops (D, anti-codon, and T loops). Further hydrogen bonds mediate the characteristic L-shaped molecular structure. tRNAs have two regions of fundamental functional importance: the anti-codon, which is responsible for specific mRNA codon recognition, and the 3' end, to which the tRNAs corresponding amino acid is attached (by aminoacyl-tRNA synthetases). tRNAs cope with the degeneracy of the genetic code in two manners: having more than one tRNA (with a specific anti-codon) for a particular amino acid; and 'wobble' base-pairing, i.e. permitting non-standard base-pairing at the 3rd anti-codon position. The record is from RNAcentral. Lineage: Bacteria; Bacillati; Chloroflexota; Chloroflexia; Chloroflexales. RNAcentral also lists the same sequence under 1 other name.